Non-coding RNA from Cyanistes caeruleus (blue tit), 205 nucleotides. Lineage: Eukaryota; Metazoa; Chordata; Aves; Passeriformes; Paridae. The record is from RefSeq and is a predicted model, not a curated record.
CAGCGAUUUCCUGGCGCUGCUCAACGACGAGCGCCUGCACCCCAACGCCUCCGAGUGGAAGCGGAACCUGCUGCGGAUCCAGCGCCUGGUGCUGAUCGGGGGCCCCGACGACGGCGUCAUCACCCCCUGGCAGUCCAGCCUUUUCGGGUUCUACGACGCCAACGAGACCGUGCGGGACAUGGAGGCGCAGCCGGUGAGGGGCGGG